AGUGAACGCUGGCGGUAGGCCUAACACAUGCAAGUCGAACGGCAGCACAGUAAGAGCUUGCUCUUACGGGUGGCGAGUGGCGGACGGGUGAGGAAUACAUCGGAAUCUACUUUUUCGUGGGGGAUAACGUAGGGAAACUUACGCUAAUACCGCAUACGACCUACGGGUGAAAGCAGGGGAUCUUCGGACCUUGCGCGAUUGAAUGAGCCGAUGUCGGAUUAGCUAGUUGGCGGGGUAAAGGCCCACCAAGGCGACGAUCCGUAGCUGGUCUGAGAGGAUGAUCAGCCACACUGGAACUGAGACCCGGUCCAGACUCCUACGGGAGGCAGCAGUGGGGAAUAUUGGACAAUGGGCGCAAGCCUGAUCCAGCCAUACCGCGUGGGUGAAGAAGGCCUUCGGGUUGUAAAGCCCUUUUGUUGGGAAAGAAAAGCAGCAGGUUAAUACCCCGCUGUUCUGACGGUACCCAAAGAAUAAGCACCGGCUAACUUCG
Molecule: ribosomal RNA, 490 nt
Filed under: uncultured bacterium
Lineage: Bacteria
Description: partial 16S ribosomal RNA
Rfam family: Bacterial small subunit ribosomal RNA
Source: RNAcentral